AAUUCGAUUGAGUUUGAUCAUGGCUCAGGACGAACGCUGGCGGCGUGCUUCACACAUGCAAGUCGAACGAGGUCCAACCUGUGGCAACACAGGGGAAUACCGAGUGGCGAACGGGUGCGUAACACGUGAGCAACCUGUCCCGAAGACUGGGAUAACUCCGGGAAACCGGAGCUAAUACCGGAUAUCCCCACCGCGUCGCAUGGCGUGAUGAGGAAAUGUUUUUUCGCUUCGGGAGGGGCUCGCGGCCUAUCAGCUUGUUGGCGGGGUAAAGGCCCACCAAGGCUUCGACGGGUAGCUGGUCUGAGAGGACGACCAGCCACACUGGGACUGAGACACGGCCCAGACUCCUACGGGAGGCAGCAGUGGGGAAUCUUGCGCAAUGGGCGAAAGCCUGACGCAGCAACGCCGCGUGCGGGAUGAAGGCCUUCGGGUUGUAAACCGCUUUCAGCAGGAACGAAAAUGACGGUACCUGCAGAAGAAGCACCGGCCAACUACGUGCCAGCAGCCGCGGUAAUACGUAGGGUGCAAGCGUUGUCCGGAUUUAUUGGGCGUAAAGAGCUCGUAGGCGGUUUGGCAAGUCGGGUGUGAAAACUUCAGGCUCAACCUGGAGAUGCCACCCGAAACUGCUAUGACUGGAGUCUGGUAGGGGAGCACGGAAUUCCUGGUGUAGCGGUGAAAUGCGCAGAUAUCAGGAGGAACACCGGUGGCGAAGGCGGUGCUCUGGGCCA
RNAcentral lists this ribosomal RNA (728 nucleotides) under uncultured bacterium. Its description in RNAcentral is "bacterial SSU rRNA". It matches the Rfam family "Bacterial small subunit ribosomal RNA", at positions 1 to 736 of the family's 1533-position model. The record is from RNAcentral.